AAAUAAACAUUAAAACAUCAAACAAACAAACAAACAAAAACGCAGGCCCAAAAUGGAGUCACUUAUGCAAAGGGCCGAAGUCAACAAACCAAGGCUCAAUACCCAACCCAGGAGCAGGCUUAGCCUCCCUGCCCCCCGACCCCAGGUGGUAACAUUUAACUAGUCAACCUGGAAUUUCCUGGUUAGCACUAGGAAAUUUACUGAUAGACUCUUUGAUCCCCCUUAGGAGGACAACCUUGCCUAAAACCAUGCAUUCUUUGCUAAUAAUUUUUGUUUCCACUCCCUAGCUACCUUUAAAAACCUUUCCUUUCCCGUAGCGGGAGCCGGAGCUCCCCUCUACUUGCUAGAUGGGACGCUGCCCCGUUCAUCAGCCACCCGACAAAGCCAACCAGGUCUUUAAAACGUAUUAGGUUAAAUGUUUGUUGUUUACCACUGAGUUUGUAUCCCCGCCUCCGCCUCCUUGCUGUCAGCGUGACCUGGGCAAAUGGCCUGUCUCUCCGCCCCUCGGGCCUCCUCAUCUGUGAAAUGGGGAUCAUGAAAGUGCCGACUUCAGAGUCCCGGGGAGCGGGAUCUGCGUGUCAGUCCGCUUAAGGUGCUCAGAACAGCAUCUGACAGGUUUGUGUUUCUAAGAGGCAGCUGCGGUCAGCAUUGCCUUUAUCUGAGAGUUUGUGUGCGGAUCAAAGAGAGGAAAAAAGAGGCGUGGUCAGCCUUUGCUCUGCUUAUUGCUGGGGGCGGGGCUGCUUCUCCUGGGGGUGUAGCAUAGCUGCCUGUGGCAGGAGGGGGAUCAGAGUUCCUGGGCGGGGGCGGGGGGGGGGGCGGUUGGUGGUUGCUGGUUUUGUGUGUGUGUGUGUGUUUGCCAUUGAGGAAAUAUUGAUCGAGGACCCACUGUGUGCCAGCCGCUGUUCCGGACGCUAGAGAGACCGCAGUGCACAAGCAGA
Molecule: long non-coding RNA, 938 nt
Organism: Leopardus geoffroyi (Geoffroy's cat)
Lineage: Eukaryota; Metazoa; Chordata; Mammalia; Carnivora; Felidae
Exons: 2
Source: RefSeq, a predicted model, not a curated record